GAGAACAGGCCGCUGCUCUGAGCCGCAGGAAUAGCCUGCCAUAAAGAGACCUGCCGAGCACAGGCUUCCAGCUUGGAAAGGGUGUGGUGAAGUCUAAACACCUCCUGGGGCCAAACAGUACCUGGGCGCCAAGCCAGGGCCUCACCCGUACUAGGCAAGCGGCUCACUGCUAAGUCACACCCCCGGGACCAGGGAAAGACUUGAAAAUGUCGUUUGAGCAGUUCAUGACAGUACACACAACGCAUGCCCCUGCUUUUCAAGGAAUUACCCAAUAACUUGGAUGGAUAGAGCAGACAUUGUUUUGGGGCUUUGGAGAGAUACCAACUUGGUGCCAUACUCCGUGGAUGCCUGAGGCAAAACACUGUCCAAAGGUUCUUGAGGACAGUGACAGACACAGUCAAACUGCCGUCCCACUCCUGGAGACGCUGCAUCCCAGAACCUGAUCCUGAGUCUGAAUUAUUUAGCCGUCUGAGUUUCCCCCUGAAUCCUGACUGCAAAUGAAGGAGGCAAUGCAGGCCGCGUCAUUCAUUCACCGAGUUUAUUCUUAACGGUGGAUCAUUAGUGUUUGUGUUCGUGUAUGGAUGAACCAUAGCCCAAACGUGGACUGAGAGGAAAAUCUGCGCGCCCGUUGUCCCCUCCCCCCCUCCCUGCUUUUAAUCCCCGAGUUUUGAGGAUUAUCACGGCUGUGAGACAAAUUUACCUGCUGAGGCAUAUUACUAGACCCUCAAUAAAAAACUUUAAAACUA
Molecule: long non-coding RNA, 746 nt
Organism: Mesocricetus auratus (golden hamster)
Lineage: Eukaryota; Metazoa; Chordata; Mammalia; Rodentia; Cricetidae
Exons: 2
Source: RefSeq, a predicted model, not a curated record